RNAcentral lists this ribosomal RNA (253 nucleotides) under uncultured bacterium. Its description in RNAcentral is "partial 16S ribosomal RNA". It matches the Rfam family "Bacterial small subunit ribosomal RNA", at positions 524 to 776 of the family's 1533-position model. The record is from RNAcentral.
UACGGAGGGAGCUAGCGUUGUUCGGAUAUACUGGGCGUAAAGCGCACGUAGGCGGCCCCGUAAGUCAGGGGUGAAAUCCCGGAGCUCAACUCCGGAACUGCCCUUGAAACUGCAGUGCUAGAAUCUUGGAGAGGCGAGUGGAAUUCCGAGUGUAGAGGUGAAAUUCGUAGAUAUUCGGAAGAACACCAGUGGCGAAGGCGACUCGCUGGACAAGUAUUGACGCUGAGGUGCGAAAGCGUGGGGAGCAAACAGG